This 301-nucleotide ribosomal RNA is filed under the name uncultured bacterium. RNAcentral's name for it is "partial 16S ribosomal RNA". It matches the Rfam family "Bacterial small subunit ribosomal RNA", at positions 509 to 807 of the family's 1533-position model. The record is from RNAcentral.
CAGUCGCCACGGGAAUACGUAGGGUGCAAGCGUUAAUCGGAAUUACUGGGCGCAAAGCGUGCGCAGGCGGUUCGUUAAGACAGAUGUGAAAUCCCCGGGCUUAACCUGGGAACGGCAUUUGUGACUGGCGGGCUAGAGUAUGGCAGAGGGGGGUAGAAUUCCACGUGUAGCAGUGAAAUGCGUAGAGAUGUGGAGGAAUACCGAUGGCGAAGGCAGCCCCCUGGGCCAAUACUGACGCCCAUGCACGAAAGCGUGGGGAGCAAACAGGAUUAGAUACCCGCGUAGUCCCUGUCUCUUAUAC